RNAcentral lists this ribosomal RNA (497 nucleotides) under uncultured bacterium. Its description in RNAcentral is "partial 16S ribosomal RNA". It matches the Rfam family "Bacterial small subunit ribosomal RNA", at positions 28 to 507 of the family's 1533-position model. The record is from RNAcentral.
GAUGAACGCUGGCGGCGUGCCUAAUACAUGCAAGUCGAGCGAACGGACGAGAAGCUUGCUUCUCUGAUGUUAGCGGCGGACGGGUGAGUAACACGUGGAUAACCUACCUAUAAGACUGGGAUAACUUCGGGAAACCGGAGCUAAUACCGGAUAAUAUUUUGAACCGCAUGGUUCAAAAGUGAAAGACGGUCUUGCUGUCACUUAUAGAUGGAUCCGCGCUGCAUUAGCUAGUUGGUAAGGUAACGGCUUACCAAGGCAACGAUGCAUAGCCGACCGGAGAGGGUGAACGGCCACACUGGAACUGAGACACGGUCCAGACUCCUACGGGAGGAAGCAGUAGGGAAUCUUCCGCAAUGAGCGAAAGCCUGAAGGAGCAACGCCGCGUGAGUGAUGAAGGUCUUCGGAUCCUAAAACUCUGUUAUUAGGGAAGAACAUAUGUGUAAGUAACUGUGCACAUCUUGACGGUACCUAAUCAGAGAGGCACGGCUAACUACGUG